This is an RNA transcript of Anthonomus grandis grandis, 3058 nucleotides long. RefSeq lists it as uncharacterized. The record is from RefSeq and is a predicted model, not a curated record. Lineage: Eukaryota; Metazoa; Arthropoda; Insecta; Coleoptera; Curculionidae. The transcript is spliced from 2 exons.
AGGACUUAAUCUGCUCAUUUUUUGGGAUAGGUAGAGGUAAAGAGAAGGUUGUUCGGAGAUUGUAACCCGAGGAGGGGGGCCAAGUUGAUGGCGAUAUUUUUUGUGGAUAAGACAAACAGUCUCUAAAAUAAAAAGGCAUGGCAAUGUCAGGACAGAGUGUUUUAAAAACAAUGGCCUACAGGGGCUACGAAAGGGAGCUGCACACAUAUAGCGUAUGGCUCUUUUUUGCAAAAUAAAUAGAGAACUGAACAAAUACUGAGAGCACACACCCCAAAACACAAUACCGUAUCUCAGAUAAGACUCUAUAAGAGCAUGGUAGGCAAUUUUGGCCACAUCACGUCCCAGAGAAUGUGUUGGAAUUUGAGAGAUAUCAUUGACAUAUAGCAGGAACAAUAUUGGUCCAAGAACAGAACCCUGGGGUACACCAGGGUUCCUCCUUCACAACUCCUCUGAAUCCAUAGGUUUCUAGCUUCUGUAGCAGUAUUGUGUGACUUACACAGUCAAACGCCUUAGAUAAGUCACAGAACACCGCCGCCGCACUCUCCCCAGCGUUCAACCCCAUGUACAGACUCUCUAAAAAAUUGAAAAUAGCAUCAGAUGUACCCAGUUUCGUCCGGAAUCCAAAUUGCUGAUGGUUAAGAACAUUAUGCCGUUUCAGAAAUGCCAUCAUCCUAGUUUUUACCAAUCUUUCUACAAGCUUGCCAAGCGUGGGAAGCAGGGCUAUGGGUCUGAAAUUUGAUGGGUCAUCAUAGUUUCCACCCUUAAAUAAUGGUAUAAUCAAGGCAUCCUUGAGUAAAUGUGGAAAGGACCCACUUGAAAGUGAAACAUUUAACACCUCAGCCAAAGAAUCAAGGGUUGGUAGCGGUAGCGCUGUUAGGACCUUUAGUGACAGCCCAUCCCAUCCAGAGGAGUUCUUAUUUUUCAUUGAGGAUAGAGCUUCCAUUAUUUCACUAGAAUCUGUUGGUCUAAAGAAAAAUGUUUCAGGCACCUUAAUGUUGUGUAAGUAUGAGCGCGGAUCUCCAACAGACUGAGGCAAUAAUAUUGAUAGACCCAAAGCAACACCCUGGAAAAAAUGAUUGAGUGUUUCGGCCGACACCGUGCUAUUAGAAACAGAAGGGUUCCCAUGUUCGCCACGUAAGUCAUUAACAAUUUUCCAAGACUCUCUAGACUUAUUUCUUGAUUGGUUUAUUUUACUUGAGUAGUAUAAGUUUUUUGCCAAUUUCACUGUAUCACGGUAAAUUUUGCGAUAUCUAUUAAAGUAGGAUAUGAAUUUGGAGUUGUCCAAGGCAAACUUUCUUAUGGAGUGCAAACACCGAAGAUUUUUACCAGAAACUAAUAGACCCCUGCUAUACCAGGGUCUUCUCCUUUUUUCCCUAAUUGUCACCAUGGGAAAAGUUGCCUCAAAAACAUCCACUAAAGUUGAAUGGAAACUCUCAAAAGGAUCACCGUUGUUAAGUAUGAUACCAUUCCAGUCUAUUGAAUUACAACAUUCUUUAAACUUACAGAAAUUUUUUCUAGUGAACAACCUUCCGCACUUUUUUUUUCUUGAGGUACACUUUUUUUCACUUAGAAGAAAGGAACAUAAUACGGCCUCAUGAUCAGACAACCCGGCAUUUACAAUUCUACAUGCAACCUGCGUUUCACAGAGAGUAGAGCAAACAUAAUCUAAAAGUGAUGCUGAAUUAGCAGUGAUGCGAGUAGGUUGGUCAACAUGCAAACUUAAAUUAAAAGAUUUCAGCACUCUAUGUAUCGACAAAUGAUUGUUAGAGUUAUUGCAGUCUAAAAAAUUUACAUUAAUGUCACCUGUCAAUAUUAGUGAUGCAUUUACCGAUAUUUGGCUUAAAAUGUUAUAUAAUUUAUCAAUAAAACUACUAAAAUUACUCGAGGGUGACCUGUAAAGGCCUAAAAUGUACAAAUUUAAUUCCUUAGAAUAAACAAUGCAAAAUUCAAAAGUUUUUUCUUCCAGGAGAUACUCAAACUUGGUUAUAUCAACAAAGUUAUAUCUUUCUAAAAACUUAUUCUCUAUUAAUAUCAAAGUUCCACCAUGAUUAUACUGAGUACGGGAAUAGAUGGAUGCAAGAGCAUAACUUUCUAUGAAAAAAGGUUCACCCUGUUUGAGCCAAUGUUCAGUCAAAACAACAAUGACAGGGUUAUCUUCAUAUGCUAAAAAUAAAGAGAGUUCAUCAGAUUUAUUUCUGACUGACUGAAUAUUUAAAAGGGCUAAAGCAAAAUGGACUCCGACUGAGUUUGGCCUAAAAAAGUUUUGUUGUGUUCCAGAGGUCCACUAUUCCAUGUUAUAUCCAUACAAGGCCGAACAUAUUAACGAAGAAAUUUCGAGUCCCAGAAGUACUGGUAUUGACGAAUCUGAAGAUACGAAUACCGUACCAACGCCACUAAUGUCCCCUCAACCGGCUGUUUUGGCAAGUAAUAGCAGAUGUUCCUCAAGAACCUCUACAAAUUUAGCUAAAUGUUCUGCACCAAAGAGAAAGUUAACAGAGCAACACGACAUGAUUGAAAAGGUUUGCAGCACAAUUUUAAGAAAUGGCAUAGCAGAUGAGUUUCAUGUAAUAGGAGAAAAUGUAGCUUACAAACUGCGAAGAAUUAAUGAAGAACAAAGAUUUUAUGCCGAACAAAUAAUAAACAAAGUUCUGUUUUACGCAAUCCAGAAUAAAUUGACUCCCGACUCAGACGUUGUAGUGAACAAACCUGUUUUCAGCUAUCAAACAAUCCAGAAGCCAGUCUCAAAUAAGUCUUAUUAUCAGCAGAAUUCAAAUGUUAUCCAACACCAACAGUUAUAUCAAUUUUCAAAGCCACUCCACACAGUCACAAAUAACACACCUUUUUCGCACUCAAAUGUUGCUUUUUCUGACCAACCUACAGUUUUGUCAUCUGCUGGCCAAAUUAAAGAAGAGUUGUCGGAUUUAAUUAUUUUAAAAUAAUAAAAAUGUUUUUAUUAAAUAAAUAAAUUUUAACAAUAAAUUUAAUCAUUUUGUAAUCGUAAAUUAGUUUCAUAAGUUUCAAUUACGAAUAAAUAAAUGUUUAUUUUCUUACCUUUAAA